Magnolia sinica is the source of this 1466-nucleotide long non-coding RNA. RefSeq lists it as uncharacterized. The transcript is spliced from 5 exons. The record is from RefSeq and is a predicted model, not a curated record. Lineage: Eukaryota; Viridiplantae; Streptophyta; Magnoliopsida; Magnoliales; Magnoliaceae.
UACUGUAUACAAGGCAAGUACACACUUUUAAGAUGAAGUUGUUGGGCGGGAACGGGAACCAAAUGACUUGCAUCACCUUCGAUUUCUCAAUUGGGUUCGGAUCACCCAUCAGCGAGAGUUAAGGUCGAGGCAUGGAUGGGGGACAACUCUUGUCUACAUCUCGUUGAUGCUUUCAAGAGACUAGUAAAAGCACCAAUAAGAAUCUGUGGUGAUCGACAGAUUGAAAGAAUUCAUUCGUCUCCGUUAGUUAAGUUCUUUAAAAAAAAUAAAAUCUGCUCUGUAUUUGAUUUUCCUGAUCUGUUAUUAUCAUCUGCUUGUUUUGCUUUGAUCCAUCUCGUUUCAUCUAGAAAAAAAUAGAUUUUUUACAUUGUUUUGAUAGAUUCAUGUGAAUUUCACUUCGGUUAAUUUUCACCGUACAACUUGUUUUUGUAUGUUAUGUAACAAGGAACAGAAGGUUUGAGAGAAUGUUAGCCUCGCAUGACGUGUCUGACUCCCACCAUUAGAAGCAAUCUUCCUUGGUUAUGGUUUCUCAAAGGCAUCAGUCCUGUGGCGAUAUUGAAGAAUGCAGCUCAAGUGACAAGAUAUUCUGACCAAAACCAGCAGCAAUCUUCUAAGAUACAGCAACACUCCUCAAUAUAAAAUGCAUUAAUAAGAAGACGGGAGAGCAGUACACGGAAGGGCCCAAGGUUGAAAAGUACAAGGAGAUGCUGAUGAAGAAAACUCAAGAUCAGGGCGCCCAGUUAAUUUCUUAUGACCCAGUCAAAGGGGAGUGGAAGUUCAAGGUUGAUCACUUUAGCUGGUAUGAAUGCUGCAAGAUUGAGGAUUCAUGUGCAUGCUUCUUUUCAAAUUGCAACUUAUGUUUGUGUAGCAUUUCAGAUUGCAAGAAAUAAGACCGUUUUUGCACACUGAAGUAGAUAAAAGAGGCAUGUUUGUCUUGCAUCAGUUUAUUUUAUUUUAUUUUUAUUUUUAUUUUUUUGAGAAAGAUUUUUUUCUCUAUGGCUACGGAUUUAACCCGUAGCCUUUAACCAUUUUCCUGAAUAACUGACGAUUUAGGGGCGUCUAGCACAAUCGCGGGUAAAGGUCCCUAACCGCUAGUAAAGCCUUUACCGAUGCCACUUUUACCGGCAGUUUUUUGGGCCUUUAUAAAGGACUUAUCUAGGUGCAAGGAAACAUUGUCAACCCUUAAAGCCAUGCAGGGGCAAGGAGGCUAUACACAACUAGAACUGGACAUAGCUCACCUUGAAAAGGAAAUUGAGUUAUAUUCAAUGGAGAAGCUGUGUUAUGAAGCUUAAAUGAUGGUAUGGUAAAUGAGAAGGCUCCAUCUCCUUUUCAAAUAGGAAAUUGCUUCACAUCUGGGCUUUCCUGAUGGUUCUGUAAGCCACUAUGGUCUGGAUGUUUAUGUUAAAAGUGUGUUAUUAAUGGCUGACAUUGUUCUUUAUGGUUCCUUUGAAGUACCCAUCAUUGCU